Long non-coding RNA from Dipodomys spectabilis (banner-tailed kangaroo rat), 139 nucleotides. RefSeq lists it as uncharacterized. The transcript has 3 exons. Lineage: Eukaryota; Metazoa; Chordata; Mammalia; Rodentia; Heteromyidae. The record is from RefSeq and is a predicted model, not a curated record.
UUUUUUGCUCAAGGCUGACUGGCAGCCUCCCACUUUGAGCCAACAGCUCCACUCUUGGCUUUUUUGGUGGUUUCAUUGGCGAUAAGAGUCUCACAGACUUUCCUGCCCAAGCUACUUUGAAACCUCAAUCCUCCGAUUU